RNAcentral lists this microRNA (22 nucleotides) under Macaca mulatta (Rhesus monkey). Its description in RNAcentral is "Mml-Mir-430-P38_3p (mature (guide))". Lineage: Eukaryota; Metazoa; Chordata; Mammalia; Primates; Cercopithecidae. The record is from RNAcentral.
CGAAGCGCUUCUCUUUGGAGCG